RNAcentral lists this ribosomal RNA (1008 nucleotides) under Microbacterium sp. MSFC 3-M5-R-2. RNAcentral describes it as "bacterial SSU rRNA". It matches the Rfam family "Bacterial small subunit ribosomal RNA", at positions 68 to 1085 of the family's 1533-position model. The record is from RNAcentral. Lineage: Bacteria; Bacillati; Actinomycetota; Actinomycetes; Micrococcales; Microbacteriaceae.
GUGAAGCUCCAGCUUGCUGGAGUGGAUCAGUGGCGAACGGGUGAGUAACACGUGAGCAACCUGCCCCUGACUCUGGGAUAACAGCCGGAAACGGCUGCUAAUACCGGAUAUGCACCAUGAACGCAUGUUCUGUGGUGGGAAAGAUUUUUCGGUUGGGGAUGGGCUCGCGGCCUAUCAGCUUGUUGGUGAGGUAAUGGCUCACCAAGGCGUCGACGGGUAGCCGGCCUGAGAGGGUGACCGGCCACACUGGGACUGAGACACGGCCCAGACUCCUACGGGAGGCAGCAGUGGGGAAUAUUGCACAAUGGGCGAAAGCCUGAUGCAGCAACGCCGCGUGAGGGAUGACGGCCUUCGGGUUGUAAACCUCUUUUAGCAGGGAAGAAGCGAGAGUGACGGUACCUGCAGAAAAAGCGCCGGCUAACUACGUGCCAGCAGCCGCGGUAAUACGUAGGGCGCAAGCGUUAUCCGGAAUUAUUGGGCGUAAAGAGCUCGUAGGCGGUUUGUCGCGUCUGCUGUGAAAACUGGAGGCUCAACCUCCAGCCUGCAGUGGGUACGGGCAGACUAGAGUGCGGUAGGGGAGAUUGGAAUUCCUGGUGUAGCGGUGGAAUGCGCAGAUAUCAGGAGGAACACCGAUGGCGAAGGCAGAUCUCUGGGCCGUAACUGACGCUGAGGAGCGAAAGGGUGGGGAGCGAACAGGCUUAGAUACCCUGGUAGUCCACCCCGUAAACGUUGGGAACUAGUUGUGGGGGCCUUUCCACGGUCUCCGUGACGCAGCUAACGCAUUAAGUUCCCCGCCUGGGGAGUACGGCCGCAAGGCUAAAACUCAAAGGAAUUGACGGGGACCCGCACAAGCGGCGGAGCAUGCGGAUUAAUUCGAUGCAACGCGAAGAACCUUACCAAGGCUUGACAUAUACGAGAACGGGCUAGAAAUAGUCAACUCUUUGGACACUCGUAUACAGGUGGUGCAUGGUUGUCGUCAGCUCGUGUCGUGAGAUGUUGGGGUUAAGU